Molecule: non-coding RNA, 413 nt
Organism: Pogona vitticeps (central bearded dragon)
Lineage: Eukaryota; Metazoa; Chordata; Lepidosauria; Squamata; Agamidae
Source: the annotation of a RefSeq genome assembly
UCUACCUUCAACAAGAUGAAAUUCUUCCUGUUCUUUUUCUUCUAUCUGGUGGCCAUCUUCAGCCGUACUUUAGCCAGCAUACAACUCGUAUCUUCUGCCCCAGCCACAGUGAGACCUGGAGAAAGCCUCAGACUGGUUUGUAAAGUGACAGGAGUCUCUCUGACUGAUUCAUCUUAUAUUUGGAACUGGAUCCGACAGCCUGCUGGGAAAGGCCUGGAAUGGGUUGCAAGAAUAUACCUCUAUGAUGGGAGAACCUGGUUUGCCUCUUCCCUUCGAAGCCGUACAACUAUCUCUUCAGAGACUUCCAAAAGUGAAUUCUAUCUCCAGCUGAACUCCGUUGUAGCUGCUGACUCAGCUGUGUAUUUCUGUGCCCGAGAUGCACAGUGAAGUAAGGUUAACAGAAGCUCUGUACA